AAAGUUUUCUCCCGCUCCCUCAAUUUGAGUUAAACAAAGUGGUGGAGAAAAGAAAAAGAAAGUCGGUCUCAGAGGGUCUUCCCCAUUUCUGUCUCUCUUAGACAAAUCCAAAUUCUGAUCUGCGAGAUUCAAGCAGGUAAUAAUGCUUGGGCUUCGAAAUGGAGGCAAGGGUUUGGGUAAGCAAAGAGCAAAACGACAUUGUAAGGUCUUCCGCGACAGCAUCCAGGGCAUCAAGCCGGCGACGGCUCGGUUCUCAAGGUCGGCGAGGAGAAGGAGAUCGGAAAGCAAGGCUUGAAGAAGCAACUUCUCAAGGAAGGUGAAAGCUGGGAUAUAUCCCGAAGUGCGGUGAUCGAUUGCGAUUAUGUUUGAAUUCAGUCCAUUACACCGGGAUUUUGCUUGAGUUCGAUUGGAGCGGUGAUAGAGGGGACAUCGAUCAGUUCACUCGGACAAGGUGAGGGAAUUUUUGGCCUUUCACUUGUAUUAAUGACUUGAUUAAGUUGUGAGCUGAUUCAGAAGAACGGAAAGAGAUGAAGAAGAAAGCUCUGGAAUGAAAGAGGCUGGCACUGGAACCAGGUGCUUCUUUCUCCCAGAAAAUAACUAGGAAUUUGAAAAAACAACAUUGUUUGUUUUCUUAAUUGCUUUAGUUGCAUUUGGACUGGCAGCUAGUUCCUUCUUUGUAAUAAUUUAUUAAUUUCAAUGUAUUAUUUGAAAGUUUGAUUUGAAUUGAGAUAUGACUUGGUGAGAAUUUUUGUUCUUUA
Rosa chinensis is the source of this 758-nucleotide long non-coding RNA. RefSeq lists it as uncharacterized. The transcript has 2 exons. The record is from RefSeq and is a predicted model, not a curated record. Lineage: Eukaryota; Viridiplantae; Streptophyta; Magnoliopsida; Rosales; Rosaceae.